GUGAUUUUAGCCUUAUAUCACAAAGUAUGUGCUCAUCCCAUAUCGGGGUCAUUCCAGUGCUGCUUAAGAAGACGAGAGUUUGAUGUAUCUGAAUAUGAUGGAAAUUCAUUUGGAAAGAAGAGUUCAGUCACCCAGAGUCAUCCUCCAGUUGCUGAAGACACAGAGCCAGACUACGAGAACAUCUUUAAUGCUACCGCCAAAUUCCCUGCAGAGCAGAAUAUAUACUGUAAUCAGUAGAAAUACAAAGAUCACCUACAGAACUGUGCAAAUGUCAGAG
Molecule: long non-coding RNA, 277 nt
Organism: Colossoma macropomum (tambaqui)
Lineage: Eukaryota; Metazoa; Chordata; Actinopteri; Characiformes; Serrasalmidae
Exons: 3
Source: RefSeq, a predicted model, not a curated record